GACGAACGCUGGCGGCGUGCUUAACACAUGCAAGUCGAACGGAAAGGCCCUGCUUUUGUGGGGUGCUCGAGUGGCGAAAGGGUGAGUAACACGUAAGUAACCUGCCCUUGACUUUGGGAUAACUUCAGGAAACUGGGGCUAAUACCGGAUAGGAGCUCCUGCUGCAUGGUGGGGGUUGGAAAGUUUCGGCGGUUGGGGAUGGACUCGCGGCUUAUCAGCUUGUUGGUGGGGUAGUGGCUUACCAAGGCUUUGACGGGUAGCCGGCCUGAGAGGGUGACCGGCCACAUUGGGACUGAGAUACGGGCCAGACUCCUACGGGAGGCAGCAGUGAGGAAUAUUGCACGAUGGGCGGAAGCCUGAUGCAGCAACGCCGCGUGCGGGAUGACGGCCUUCGGGUUGUAAACCGCGUUCGCCUGUGACGAAGCGUGAGUGACGGUAAUGGGUAAAGAAGCACCGGCUAACUACGUG
Molecule: ribosomal RNA, 468 nt
Filed under: uncultured bacterium
Lineage: Bacteria
Description: partial 16S ribosomal RNA
Rfam family: Bacterial small subunit ribosomal RNA
Source: RNAcentral